UACGGGGGGGGCAAGCGUUGUUCGGAAUUACUGGGCGUAAAGGGCGCGUAGGCGGUCAGCACAAGUCAGUUGUGAAAUCUCCGGGCUUAACUCGGAAAGGUCAACUGAUACUGUGCGACUAGAGUGCAGAAGGGGCAACUGGAAUUCUCGGUGUAGCGGUGAAAUGCGCAGAUAUCAGGAAGAACACCCGUGGCUAAGGCGGCUCUCUAGUACGGUACUGACGCUGAGACGCGAAAGCGUGGGGAGCGAACAGG
Molecule: ribosomal RNA, 254 nt
Filed under: uncultured bacterium
Lineage: Bacteria
Description: partial 16S ribosomal RNA
Rfam family: Bacterial small subunit ribosomal RNA
Source: RNAcentral